This is a non-coding RNA of Chrysemys picta bellii (western painted turtle), 1434 nucleotides long. The record is from RefSeq and is a predicted model, not a curated record. Lineage: Eukaryota; Metazoa; Chordata; Testudines; Emydidae.
AGUGCUUGUAUCACUGCACAGUGCAGUGCACCAUGGCUAGGUAUCCCACUGUCUAACUCGUCACCAUCCAACACGCUAUCUUUUGGGAAAUUUUGGCCAUGCAUGGUGGGACAGAAACAAUUCAUAUAGGGGUGACUCCGUGCAAUGGGUCAAGUUCCCAGGGAGUAACCAUCUCCAUCCCAUGAUGUCAUCUAUAUCCCAUAAUUAUUGUGCCUUUUUUCAAAAUCCCUCACACCCGUGUGGCCCUCCUCACUGUCUGCCAUCUCUGACAGAAGCAUGGAUCCUGCACGGCUCUGCACUGUUGUCAGGAGGGUUGCAAGCACAGGGUGCAUGAUCCUCCAAUAUUUGCAGCACCACAAGAAGAACCGAAAGAGAGGGGAGUGAAGGUUUCAUGUUUCUAAAGAGAGAAAAUGCAGAUAAGGCCUUCUUCAUAUCCAUCAGAAAGAAGCAGUAUAGGUUGCUGGCCUAUUGCUGAACCCCCAACCCAAAGGGCCAGUGAGCUGCUAUUCGUCUGCUCCCUACCCUUUGACUUAUCUGGCUUGAGUAGCCUUACCAGGAGCUAUAUUCCUGCCAGCAGAGCUCCCAGGAUCAUUGGAACACAUAAGUCACCAUGUCAAGGUGCAGUCCCUACAGAAGAUUCGGCUACCUAACAAACAAGAGGGAGUCUACUGACAAAUUGGGAAACUGAGGGACAAAGAAGCGGGGAAACUGAGGCAGCACCUGUUGCUGGAGAGGUCAUCAUUCUAUGGUUCCGCCUAACAUGAACACUUCUAUAGAAAACUAAUCAGUUACAUUUGGGAUUUAUCCCAAAGAAUCAUUGGAUUAAUCCUCACCAGAACUGUCAGGUUGGUCUUGUACAGCGGUGUGAUCAUGAAAGACAGGACUGGGUCGUGUUUGGGUGAAGGCAGUGAAAAGCUGUUUUGUAGGCCCGCCAAAAAUGCUAACACUGUUUUGCCAAAACCGAACAAAACAGUAAAUUAAACAGCUGGCAUUGAGAUGGUUUGGAGUGAAGAAGUGUUUCAGCACUGUGGAUUGCUCUUUAGCUGUCUUGAAUUUUAUUAGGUUCUUUCGAGUUUCUCCGGGAUUUAAGGAAGAAAAGGCAUUGCACAAACGUUGUGUCCAUUUUUGUGCUAUGGAUGCUCCCAUAUACACAUUAUUUUUACAGAUAGGUUACCUGGAGAUUGCAAUUACCUGCAAAUUUCAUUUUCUAUUCAGAUAAAUAUUUCUACAGCAUGCCUCCUAACAUACAAUUAGGAGCAGUGACUCUGCUGCAUAGGGCUUUCACGUUCACAUGGAACACGCACAUGACAAAAAUAUGGGUAAUUUUCAAACGUUAUCAGAGCUUUCACAUAUUAUUUCAUUUGUCAAGUAUCAGAGGGGUAGCCGUGUUAGUCUGAAUCUGUAAAAAGCAAAAGAGGGUCCUGUGGCACCUUU